UACGUAGGGUGCGAGCGUUAAUCGGAAUUACUGGGCGUAAAGAGCUCGUAGGCGGUGUGUCACGUCGUUCGUGAAAACCUGCAGCUUAACUGUGGGCGUGCGGUCGAUACGGGCAUCACUGGAGUUCGGCAGGGGAGACUGGAAUUCCUGGUGUAGCGGUGAAAUGCGCAGAUAUCAGGAGGAACACCGGCGGCGAAGGCGGGUUCCUGGGCCUUAACUGACGCUGAGACACGAAAGCUAGGGGAGCAAACAGG
This 254-nucleotide ribosomal RNA is filed under the name uncultured bacterium. RNAcentral's name for it is "partial 16S ribosomal RNA". It matches the Rfam family "Bacterial small subunit ribosomal RNA", at positions 524 to 776 of the family's 1533-position model. The record is from RNAcentral.